UACAGAGGGUGCGAGCGUUAAUCGGAAUUACUGGGCGUAAAGGGUUCGUAGGUGGCCACUUAAGUCAGACGUGAAAUCCCUCAGCUUAACUGGGGAACUGCGUCUGAUACUGCGUGGCUUGAGUGCAGGAGAGGAAUGCGGAAUUCCAGGUGUAGCGGUGAAAUGCGUAGAUAUCUGGAGGAAUACCGGUGGCGAAGGCGGCAUCCUGGACCAUUACUGACGCUGAGGCGCGAAAGCUAGGGGAGCAAACGGG
Molecule: ribosomal RNA, 253 nt
Filed under: uncultured bacterium
Lineage: Bacteria
Description: partial 16S ribosomal RNA
Rfam family: Bacterial small subunit ribosomal RNA
Source: RNAcentral